UUUCCGUAGGUGUACCUGCGGAAGGAUCAUUCAUAAUAAAGUGUUUUAUGGCACUUUUUAAAAAUCCAUAUCCACCUUGUGUGCAAUGUUAGAUCUCGUCAAUCUUGGCGAGAUUUUUAUACAUCAACUCAUUCUUUAACUAAUUUGUCUGAAAAAUAUUAUGAAUACUUAAUUCAAAAUACAACUUUCAACAACGGAUCUCUUGGCUCUCGCAUUGAUGAAGAACGCAGC
This 231-nucleotide unclassified non-coding RNA is filed under the name plant metagenome. RNAcentral describes it as "partial contains small subunit ribosomal RNA, internal transcribed spacer 1, and 5.8S ribosomal RNA". The stretch from base 183 to 231 matches the Rfam family "5.8S ribosomal RNA", at positions 1 to 49 of the family's 154-position model. The record is from RNAcentral.